UGGGGAAUAUUGCACAAUGGGGGAAACCCUGAUGCAGCGACGCCGCGUGAGCGAAGAAGGUUUUCGAAUCGUAAAGCUCUGUCCUAUGGGAAGAUAAUGACGGUACCAUAGGAGGAAGCCCCGGCUAACUACGUGCCAGCAGCCGCGGUAAUACGUAGGGGGCAAGCGUUGUCCGGAAUCACUGGGCGUAAAGGGUUCGCAGGCGGAAAUGCAAGUCAGUUGUGAAAGGCAGAGGCUCAACCUCUGUAAGCAAUUGAAACUGUAUUUCUUGAGGUGUGGAGAGGCAAGUGGAAUUCCUAGUGUAGCGGUGAAAUGCGUAGAUAUUAGGAAGAAUACCGGUGGCGAAGGCGACUUGCUGGACACAAACUGACGCUGAGGAACGAAAGCGUGGGUAGCAAACAGG
Molecule: ribosomal RNA, 403 nt
Filed under: Fusobacteriota bacterium
Lineage: Bacteria; Fusobacteriati; Fusobacteriota
Description: Fusobacteria bacterium partial 16S ribosomal RNA
Rfam family: Bacterial small subunit ribosomal RNA
Source: RNAcentral